RNAcentral lists this ribosomal RNA (468 nucleotides) under uncultured bacterium. Its description in RNAcentral is "partial 16S ribosomal RNA". It matches the Rfam family "Bacterial small subunit ribosomal RNA", at positions 28 to 507 of the family's 1533-position model. The record is from RNAcentral.
GACGAACGCUGGCGGCGUGCUUAACACAUGCAAGUCGAACGGAAAGGCCCUGCUUUUGUGGGGUGCUCGAGUGGCGAACGGGUGAGUAACACGUGAGUAACCUGCUCUUGACUUUGGGAUAACUUCAGGAAACUGGGGCUAAUACCGGAUAGGAGCCCCUGCUGCAUGGUGGGGGGUGGAAAGUUUCGGCGGUUGGGGAUGGACUCGCGGCUUAUCAGCUUGUUGGUGGGGGAGUGGCUUACCAAGGCUUUGGCGGGUAGCCGGCCUGAGAGGGUGACCGGCCACAUUGGGACUGAGAUACGGCGCAGACUCCUACGGGAGGCAGCGGUGGGAAAUAUUGCACAAUGGGCGGAAGCCUGAGGCAGCAACGCCGCGUGCGGGAUGACGGCCUUCGGGUUGUAAACCGCUUCAGCCUGUGACGAAGCGUGAGUGACGGUAAUGGGUAAAGAAGCACCGGCUAACUACGUG